Molecule: ribosomal RNA, 535 nt
Filed under: Bifidobacterium animalis subsp. lactis
Lineage: Bacteria; Bacillati; Actinomycetota; Actinomycetes; Bifidobacteriales; Bifidobacteriaceae
Description: bacterial SSU rRNA
Rfam family: Bacterial small subunit ribosomal RNA
Source: RNAcentral
GUGGUAAUACCGGAUGCUCCGCUCCAUCGCAUGGUGGGGUGGGAAAUGCUUUUGCGGCAUGGGAUGGGGUCGCGUCCUAUCAGCUUGUUGGCGGGGUGAUGGCCCACCAAGGCGUUGACGGGUAGCCGGCCUGAGAGGGUGACCGGCCACAUUGGGACUGAGAUACGGCCCAGACUCCUACGGGAGGCAGCAGUGGGGAAUAUUGCACAAUGGGCGCAAGCCUGAUGCAGCGACGCCGCGUGCGGGAUGGAGGCCUUCGGGUUGUAAACCGCUUUUGUUCAAGGGCAAGGCACGGUUUCGGCCGUGUUGAGUGGAUUGUUCGAAUAAGCACCGGCUAACUACGUGCCAGCAGCCGCGGUAAUACGUAGGGUGCGAGCGUUAUCCGGAUUUAUUGGGCGUAAAGGGCUCGUAGGCGGUUCGUCGCGUCCGGUGUGAAAGUCCAUCGCCUAACGGUGGAUCUGCGCCGGGUACGGGCGGGCUGGAGUGCGGUAGGGGAGACUGGAAUUCCCGGUGUAACGGUGGAAUGUGUAGAUAU